CGGGCCAGAAAGCCAAGCUGGGU
RNAcentral lists this non-coding RNA (23 nucleotides) under Cricetulus griseus (Chinese hamster). The record is from RNAcentral. Lineage: Eukaryota; Metazoa; Chordata; Mammalia; Rodentia; Cricetidae.